GGGCAUGCCGCGGUUCCAGCCCGCCGGGCGCUGAUGGAGACCCUCAAGGAGCGGGGGCUGUUCCGGGGGUCACCGAGAACCCCAUGGUGGUGCCCAUCUGCAGCCGCUCCAAGGACGUCCUGGAGCCGCGGGCCGUGCCCCAGUGGUUCGUGCGCUGCCAGGGCUGGCCGGGGCCGCGGCGGCCGCCGUGCGCAGGGGGGACCUGAGGCUGCACCCGCCCGGCCACGCCCAGCACCUGGUUCACCUGGAUGGACAACAUCAGGGACUGGUGCAUCUCGCGGCAGCUCUGGUGGGGCCAUCGCAUCCCCGCCUAACUCGUCACCAUCGACGACCCCCAGGUGCCGCCCGGACAGG
Molecule: long non-coding RNA, 354 nt
Organism: Melospiza melodia melodia
Lineage: Eukaryota; Metazoa; Chordata; Aves; Passeriformes; Passerellidae
Exons: 3
Source: RefSeq, a predicted model, not a curated record